AUUGAACGCUGGCGGCAGGCCUAACACAUGCAAGUCGAACGAGUGGCGGACGGGUGAGUUAUGUCUGGGACACUGCCUGAUGGAGGGGGAUAACUACUGGAAACGGUAUCUAAUACCGCAUACCAUCGGAUGUGCCCAGAUGGGAAUAGCUAGUAGGGGGGGUAAAGGCGCACCUAGGCGACGAUCCCUAGCUGGUCUGAGAGGAUGACCAGCCACACUGGGACUGAGACACGGGCCAGACUCCUACGGGAGGCAGCAGUGGGGAAUAUUGCACAAUGGGCGCAAGCCUGAUGCAGCCAUGCCGCGUGUAUGAAGAAGGCCGUCGGGUUGUAAAGUACUUUCAGCGGGGAGGCGUUACCGACAGAAGAAGCACCGGCUAACUCCGUGCCAGCAGCCGCGGUAAUUC
Molecule: ribosomal RNA, 406 nt
Filed under: uncultured bacterium
Lineage: Bacteria
Description: partial 16S ribosomal RNA
Rfam family: Bacterial small subunit ribosomal RNA
Source: RNAcentral